CCAAUAGCGUAUAUUAAAGUUGUUGCAGUUAAAAAGCUCGUAGUUGAAUUUUGGGUCUGGCCGGGCGGUCCGCCCUCUGGGUGAGCACUGUUCCGACGCCGGGCCUAUCCUUCUGGCGAGUCGGCAUGUCCUUUAUUGGGUGUGUCGGGGAACCAGGACCAUUACCUUGAAAAAAUUAGAGUGUUCAAAGCAGGCGUAUGCUCGAAUACAUUAGCAUGGAAUAAUGAAAUAGGACGCGUGGUGCUAUUUUGUUGGUUUCUAGAACCGCCGUAAUGAUUAAUAGGGAUAGUUGGGGGCAUUAGUAUUCAAUUGUCAGAGGUGAAAUUCUUGGAUUUAUUGAAGACUAACUUCUGCGAAAGCAUUUGCCAAGGAUGUUUUCAUUAAUCAAGAACGAAAGUUAGGGGAUCGAAGGCGAUCAGAUACCGUCGUAGCCUUAACCAUAAACUAUGCCGACUAGGAAUCGGGCGAUGUUAUUCUCAUGGCUCGCCCGGCGCCUUAUG
RNAcentral lists this ribosomal RNA (500 nucleotides) under uncultured Glomeromycotina. RNAcentral's name for it is "partial small subunit ribosomal RNA". It matches the Rfam family "Eukaryotic small subunit ribosomal RNA", at positions 591 to 1092 of the family's 1831-position model. Lineage: Eukaryota; Fungi; Glomeromycota. The record is from RNAcentral.